RNAcentral lists this unclassified non-coding RNA (158 nucleotides) under uncultured Dermateaceae. RNAcentral's name for it is "sequence contains ITS1". Lineage: Eukaryota; Fungi; Ascomycota; Leotiomycetes; Helotiales; Dermateaceae. The record is from RNAcentral.
CAGAGUUCGUGCCCUUACGGGUAGAUCUCCCACCCUGUGUUAUUAUACCUUUGUUGCUUUGGCGGGCCGCCCUCGGCUACCGGCCCCGGCUGGUAUGCGCCCGCCAGAGGACCCUAAAACCUGAAUGUUAGUGUCGUCUGAGUACUAUACAAUAGUUA